RNAcentral lists this ribosomal RNA (439 nucleotides) under uncultured bacterium. RNAcentral describes it as "partial 16S ribosomal RNA". It matches the Rfam family "Bacterial small subunit ribosomal RNA", at positions 338 to 795 of the family's 1533-position model. The record is from RNAcentral.
CCUACGGGAGGCUGCAGUGGGGAAUAUUGCACAAUGGGCGAAAGCCUGAUGCAGCAACGCCGCGUGAGCGAUGAAGGCCUUCGGGUCGUAAAGCUCUGUCCUCAAGGAAGAUAAUGACGGUACUCGAGGACGCAGCCCCGGCUAACUACGUGCCAGCAGCCGCGGUAAUACGUAGGGGGCUAGCGUUAUCCGGAAUUACUGGGCGUAAAGGGUGCGUAGGUGGUUUCUUAAGUCAGAGGUGAAAGGCUACGGCUCAACCGUAGUAAGCCUUUGAAACUGGGAAACUUGAGUGCAGGAGAGGAGAGUGGAAAUCCUAGUGUAGCGGUGAAAUGCGUAGAUAUUAGGAGGAACACCAGUUGCGAAGGCGGCUCGCUGGACUGUAAUUGACACUGAGGCUCGAAAGUGUGGGUAUCAAACAGGAUUAGAUACCCGAGUAGUC